UGUAUAAGCGACAUAGCACAGGUUUACCUGUGUGACUGCGUACCUUUUGUAUAAUGGGUCAGCGACUUAUAUUCUGUAGCAAGGUUAACCGAAUAGGGGAGCCGGAGGGAAACCGAGUCUUAAUUGGGCGUUAAGUUGCAGGGUAUAGACCCGAAACCCGGUGAUCUAGCCAUGGGCAGGUUGAAGGUUGGGUAACACUAACUGGAGGACCGAACCGACUAAUGUUGAAAAAUUAGCGGAUGACCUGUGGCUGGGGGUGAAAGGCCAAUCAAACCGGGAGAUAGCUGGUUCUCCCCGAAAGCUAUUUAGGUAGCGCCUCGUGAAUUCAUCUCCGGGGGUAGAGCACUGUUUCGGCUAGGGGGCCAUCCCGGCUUACCAACCCGAUGCAAACUGCGAAUACCGGAGAAUGUUAUCACGGGAGACACACGGCGGGUGCUAACGUCCGUCGUGAAGAGGGAAACAACCCAGACCGCCAGCUAAGGUCCCAAAGUCAUGGUUAAGUGGGAAACGAUGUGGGAAGGCCCAGACAGCCAGGAUGUUGGCUUAGAAGCAGCCAUCAUUUAAAGAAAGCGUAAUAGCUCACUGGUCGAGUCGGCCUGCGCGGAAGAUGUAACGGGGCUAAACCAUGCACCGAAGCUGCGGCAGCGANNGUUGGGUAGGGGAGCGUUCUGUAAGCCUGUGAAGGUGGCCUGUGAGGGUUGCUGGAGGUAUCAGAAGUGCGAAUGCUGACAUAAGUAACGAUAAAGCGGGUGAAAAGCCCGCUCGCCGGAAGACCAAGGGUUCCUGUCCAACGUUAAUCGGGGCAGGGUGAGUCGACCCCUAAGGCGAGGCCGAAAGGCGUAGUCGAUGGGAAACGGGUUAAUAUUCCCGUACUUGGUGUUACUGCGAAGGGGGGACGGAGAAGGCUAUGUUGGCCGGGCGACGGUUGUCCCGGUUUAAGCGUGUAGGUGUGUGUUCCAGGUAAAUCCGGUUCACUUUAACACUGAGGCGUGAUGACGAGGCACUACGGUGCUGAAGUAACAAAUGCCCUGCUUCCAGGAAAAGCCUCUAAGCAUCAGGUAACAUCAAAUCGUACCCCAAACCGACACAGGUGGUCAGGUAGAGAAUACCAAGGCGCUUGAGAGAACUCGGGUGAAGGAACUAGGCAAAAUGGUGCCGUAACUUCGGGAGAAGGCACGCUGACACGUAGGUGAAGUGAUUUACUCACGGAGCUGAAGUCAGUCGAAGAUACCAGCUGGCUGCAACUGUUUAUUAAAAACACAGCACUGUGCAAACACGAAAGUGGACGUAUACGGUGUGACGCCUGCCCGGUGCCGGAAGGUUAAUUGAUGGGGUCAGCGCAAGCGAAGCUCCUGAUCGAAGCCCCGGUAAACGGCGGCCGUAACUAUAACGGUCCUAAGGUAGCGAAAUUCCUUGUCGGGUAAGUUCCGACCUGCACGAAUGGCGUAAUGAUGGCCAGGCUGUCUCCACCCGAGACUCAGUGAAAUUGAACUCGCUGUGAAGAUGCAGUGUACCCGCGGCAAGACGGAAAGACCCCGUGAACCUUUACUAUAGCUUGACACUGAACAUUGAGCCUUGAUGUGUAGGAUAGGUGGGAGGCUUUGAAGUGUGGACGCCAGUCUGCAUGGAGCCGACCUUGAAAUACCACCCUUUAAUGUUUGAUGUUCUAACGUGGACCCGUUACCCGGGUUGCGGACAGUGUCUGGUGGGUAGUUUGACUGGGGCGGUCUCCUCCUAAAGAGUAACGGAGGAGCACGAAGGUUGGCUAAUCCUGGUCGGACAUCAGGAGGUUAGUGCAAUGGCAUAAGCCAGCUUGACUGCGAGCGUGACGGCGCGAGCAGGUGCGAAAGCAGGUCAUAGUGAUCCGGUGGUUCUGAAUGGAAGGGCCAUCGCUCAACGGAUAAAAGGUACUCCGGGGAUAACAGGCUGAUACCGCCCAAGAGUUCAUAUCGACGGCGGUGUUUGGCACCUCGAUGUCGGCUCAUCACAUCCUGGGGCUGAAGUAGGUCCCAAGGGUAUGGCUGUUCGCCAUUUAAAGUGGUACGCGAGCUGGGUUUAGAACGUCGUGAGACAGUUCGGUCCCUAUCUGCCGUGGGCGCUGGAGAACUGAGGGGGGCUGCUCCUAGUACGAGAGGACCGGAGUGGACGCAUCACUGGUGUUCGGGUUGUCAUGCCAAUGGCACUGCCCGGUAGCUAAAUGCGGAAGAGAUAAGUGCUGAAAGCAUCUAAGCACGAAACUUGCCCCGAGAUGAGUUCU
This 2257-nucleotide ribosomal RNA is filed under the name Salmonella enterica subsp. enterica serovar Dublin. RNAcentral describes it as "bacterial LSU rRNA". It matches the Rfam family "Bacterial large subunit ribosomal RNA", at positions 563 to 2812 of the family's 2925-position model. The record is from RNAcentral. Lineage: Bacteria; Pseudomonadati; Pseudomonadota; Gammaproteobacteria; Enterobacterales; Enterobacteriaceae.